This 739-nucleotide ribosomal RNA is filed under the name Salmonella enterica. RNAcentral's name for it is "partial 23S ribosomal RNA". It matches the Rfam family "Bacterial large subunit ribosomal RNA", at positions 2064 to 2802 of the family's 2925-position model. Lineage: Bacteria; Pseudomonadati; Pseudomonadota; Gammaproteobacteria; Enterobacterales; Enterobacteriaceae. The record is from RNAcentral.
GUGUACCCGCGGCAAGACGGAAAGACCCCGUGAACCUUUACUAUAGCUUGACACUGAACAUUGAGCCUUGAUGUGUAGGAUAGGUGGGAGGCUUUGAAGCGUGGACGCCAGUCUGCGUGGAGCCGACCUUGAAAUACCACCCUUUAAUGUUUGAUGUUCUAACGUGGACCCGUGAUCCGGGUUGCGGACAGUGUCUGGUGGGUAGUUUGACUGGGGCGGUCUCCUCCUAAAGAGUAACGGAGGAGCACGAAGGUUGGCUAAUCCUGGUCGGACAUCAGGAGGUUAGUGCAAUGGCAUAAGCCAGCUUGACUGCGAGCGUGACGGCGCGAGCAGGUGCGAAAGCAGGUCAUAGUGAUCCGGUGGUUCUGAAUGGAAGGGCCAUCGCUCAACGGAUAAAAGGUACUCCGGGGAUAACAGGCUGAUACCGCCCAAGAGUUCAUAUCGACGGCGGUGUUUGGCACCUCGAUGUCGGCUCAUCACAUCCUGGGGCUGAAGUAGGUCCCAAGGGUAUGGCUGUUCGCCAUUUAAAGUGGUACGCGAGCUGGGUUUAGAACGUCGUGAGACAGUUCGGUCCCUAUCUGCCGUGGGCGCUGGAGAACUGAGGGGGGCUGCUCCUAGUACGAGAGGACCGGAGUGGACGCAUCACUGGUGUUCGGGUUGUCAUGCCAAUGGCACUGCCCGGUAGCUAAAUGCGGAAGAGAUAAGUGCUGAAAGCAUCUAAGCACGAAACUUGCCCCGA